CCUACGGGAGGCUGCAGUGGGGAAUAUUGGACAAUGGGGGGAACCCUGAUCCAGCCAUGCCGCGUGUGUGAAGAAGGCCCUCGGGUUGUAAAGCACUUUCAGUGAGGAAGAACGCCUGGUGGUUAAUACCCAUCAGGAAAGACAUCACUCACAGAAGAAGCACCGGCUAACUCCGUGCCAGCAGCCGCGGUAAUACGGAGGGUGCGAGCGUUAAUCGGAAUUACUGGGCGUAAAGCGCGCGUAGGUGGCUUGAUAAGCCGGUUGUGAAAGCCCCGGGCUCAACCUGGGAACGGCAUCCGGAACUGUCAAGCUAGAGUGCAGGAGAGGAAGGUAGAAUUCCCGGUGUAGCGGUGAAAUGCGUAGAGAUCGGGAGGAAUACUAGUGGCGAAGGCGGCCUUCUGGACUGACACUGACACUGAGGUGCGAAAGCGUGGGUAGCACACAGGAUUAGAUACCCUGGUAGUA
This 465-nucleotide ribosomal RNA is filed under the name Vreelandella stevensii. Its description in RNAcentral is "partial 16S ribosomal RNA". It matches the Rfam family "Bacterial small subunit ribosomal RNA", at positions 338 to 795 of the family's 1533-position model. Lineage: Bacteria; Pseudomonadati; Pseudomonadota; Gammaproteobacteria; Oceanospirillales; Halomonadaceae. The record is from RNAcentral.